Molecule: ribosomal RNA, 468 nt
Filed under: uncultured bacterium
Lineage: Bacteria
Description: partial 16S ribosomal RNA
Rfam family: Bacterial small subunit ribosomal RNA
Source: RNAcentral
GACGAACGCUGGCGGCGUGCUUAACACAUGCAAGUCGAACGGAAAGGCCCUGCUUUUGUGGGGUGCUCGAGUGGCGAACGGGUGAGUAACACGUGAGUAACCUGCCCUUGACUUUGGGAUAACUUUAGGAAACUGGGGCUAAUACCGGAUAGGAGCUCCUGCUGCAUGGUGGGGGUUGGAAAGUUUCGGCGGUUGGGGAUGGACUCGCGGCUUAUCAGCUUGUUGGUGGGGUAGUGGCUUACCAAGGCUUUGACGGGUAGCCGGCCUGAGAGGGUGACCGGCGACAUUGGGACUGAGAGACGGCCCAGACUCCUACGGGAGGCAGCAGUGGGGAAUAUUGCACAAUGGGCGGAAGCCUGAUGCAGCAACGCCGCGUGCGUGAUGACGGCCUUCGGGUUGUAAACCGCUUUCGCCUGUGACGAAGCGUGAGUGACGGUAAUGGGUAAAGAAGCACCGGCUAACUACGUG